This 1109-nucleotide ribosomal RNA is filed under the name Bacillus pumilus. RNAcentral describes it as "bacterial SSU rRNA". It matches the Rfam family "Bacterial small subunit ribosomal RNA", at positions 31 to 1129 of the family's 1533-position model. Lineage: Bacteria; Bacillati; Bacillota; Bacilli; Caryophanales; Bacillaceae. The record is from RNAcentral.
GGCCAUUGGCGGGGUGCUAAUACAUGCAGUCGAGCGGACAGAAGGGAGCUUGCUCCCGGAUGUUAGCGGCGGACGGGUGAGUAACACGUGGGUAACCUGCCUGUAAGACUGGGAUAACUCCGGGAAACCGGAGCUAAUACCGGAUAGUUCCUUGAACCGCAUGGUUCAAGGAUGAAAGACGGUUUCGGCUGUCACUUACAGAUGGACCCGCGGCGCAUUAGCUAGUUGGUGAGGUAACGGCUCACCAAGGCGACGAUGCGUAGCCGACCUGAGAGGGUGAUCGGCCACACUGGGACUGAGACACGGCCCAGACUCCUACGGGAGGCAGCAGUAGGGAAUCUUCCGCAAUGGACGAAAGUCUGACGGAGCAACGCCGCGUGAGUGAUGAAGGUUUUCGGAUCGUAAAGCUCUGUUGUUAGGGAAGAACAAGUGCAAGAGUAACUGCUUGCACCUUGACGGUACCUAACCAGAAAGCCACGGCUAACUACGUGCCAGCAGCCGCGGUAAUACGUAGGUGGCAAGCGUUGUCCGGAAUUAUUGGGCGUAAAGGGCUCGCAGGCGGUUUCUUAAGUCUGAUGUGAAAGCCCCCGGCUCAACCGGGGAGGGUCAUUGGAAACUGGGAAACUUGAGUGCAGAAGAGGAGAGUGGAAUUCCACGUGUAGCGGUGAAAUGCGUAGAGAUGUGGAGGAACACCAGUGGCGAAGGCGACUCUCUGGUCUGUAACUGACGCUGAGGAGCGAAAGCGUGGGGAGCGAACAGGAUUAGAUACCCUGGUAGUCCACGCCGUAAACGAUGAGUGCUAAGUGUUAGGGGUUUCCGCCCCUUAGUGCUGCAGCUAACGCAUUAAGCACUCCGCCUGGGGAGUACGGUCGCAAGACUGAAACUCAAAGGAAUUGACGGGGGCCCGCACAAGCGGUGGAGCAUGUGGUUUAAUUUCGAAGCAACGCGGAGGACCUUACCAGUCUUGACAUCCUCUGACAACCCUAGAGAUAGGCUUUCCCUUUCGGGGACAGGAGUGACAGUGUGCAUGCUGUCGGUCAGCUCGUGUCGUGAGAUGUUGGGUUAGUCCCGCACGAGCGCAACCUUGAUCUUAGUUGCCCAGCAUUCAG